GGAUGCGAUCAUACCAGCACUAAAGCACCGGAUCCCAUUAGAACUCCGAAGUUAAGCGUGCUUGGGUGAGAGUAGUACUAGGAUGGGUGACCUCCUGGGAAGUCCUCGUGUUGCAUUCC
RNAcentral lists this ribosomal RNA (119 nucleotides) under Setaria viridis. RNAcentral also lists the same sequence under 2 other names. The record is from RNAcentral. Lineage: Eukaryota; Viridiplantae; Streptophyta; Magnoliopsida; Poales; Poaceae.